GUAGGUGGCAAGCGUUGUCCGGAAUUAUUGGGCGUAAAGCGCGCGCAGGCGGUUUUUUAAGUCUGAUGUGAAAGCCCACGGGCUCAACCGUGGAGGGUCAUUGGAAACUGGAGAACUUGAGUACAGAAGAGGAAAGCGGAAUUCCACGUGUAGCGGUGAAAUGCGUAGAGAUGUGGAGGAACACCAGUGGCGAAGGCGGCUUUCUGGUCUGUAACUGACGCUGAGGCGCGAAAGCGUGGGGAGCAAACAGGAUUAGAUACCCUGGUAGUCCACGCCGUAAACGAUGAGUGCUAAGUGCUAGGGGGUUUCCGCCCCUUAGUGCUGCAGCUAACGCAUUAAGCACUCCGCCUGGGGAGUACGGCCGCAAGGCUG
RNAcentral lists this ribosomal RNA (372 nucleotides) under uncultured organism. RNAcentral's name for it is "partial 16S ribosomal RNA". It matches the Rfam family "Bacterial small subunit ribosomal RNA", at positions 527 to 896 of the family's 1533-position model. The record is from RNAcentral.